UGCGUAGGCGGCUUUCUAAGUUGGAUGUGAAAACUAUGGGCUCAACCCAUAGCCUGCAUCCAAAACUGGAGAGCUUGGGUUCUGGAGGGGAAAGCGGAAUUCCUGGUGUAGCGGUGAAAUGCGUAGAUAUCAGGAGGAACACCGGUGGCGAAGGCGGCUUUCUGGACAGAUACCGACGCUGAGGCACGAAAGCUAGGGAGCAAACA
Molecule: ribosomal RNA, 206 nt
Filed under: uncultured bacterium
Lineage: Bacteria
Description: partial 16S ribosomal RNA
Rfam family: Bacterial small subunit ribosomal RNA
Source: RNAcentral